CAGAGACACAACAGAGACAGUUUCCCACGGAAAGCUCCAGACAGAAGUGCAGGAACCACCAAAACAUCCAGAGAAAGGAAACACGACUGGCUGCUUUUCGAUAGGCCAAGGACACGGCCCAGAAGACUAGCAGGCCUUCAGGGUGCCGGAUGUUCGUGGCUCUGGAGGUGGGCAGAUUCGAGGUCGGUGCCGCUGCCUGAUGUGUUGUGGGAGUACACGGAAGACCGGAAGCAGCGAGCUGGCUGUGGCUGUGUGCCCAGAGACCCGAGUUCUUUGGACACAGAGCUCAGAAAAAGCAACGGAACAGACUUUUAACACCAUAAAUCGGCCAGUUGUUUUGUUAUGUCUCCCCUCUCACUGUGAAAUGGAGACACCUCUUUUUCCCUUAUUAGGGAGAGAGAGAGAGAGAGCCUGUGGUAUGUUAAAUUACUGAGUGAAUGAGUAAUCUUUGGGGUACUACAAGUCUGUAUCUUUAUUGAUGCUUUGCUACACACUACGUUGAGUACUUGGUGGGGGUGUGCCGAUGCUUUUUUCUGGUGGUGGGGUCAUUGCUUUGCUGCUGCUUAUGUGUAGGAGGGGGAGCUGGGGGGUGCUUUGGGGUUCUAACAUUUAACUAUCAUUCAUCCGUUGGGGCACUCCUCAGUUUUCGCGGAUAUUUGCAAAGAAAAAAAAAAUCAGGAUGUAUAUUGUAUACAUUUCUCUGACGCUAAGUGUACCUAUUAAAUUCAAUUAAUAAUU
Molecule: long non-coding RNA, 738 nt
Organism: Hypanus sabinus (Atlantic stingray)
Lineage: Eukaryota; Metazoa; Chordata; Chondrichthyes; Myliobatiformes; Dasyatidae
Exons: 2
Source: RefSeq, a predicted model, not a curated record